This 866-nucleotide long non-coding RNA is filed under the name Ananas comosus (pineapple). RNAcentral describes it as "long non-coding RNA (ACOM_LNC024254)". Lineage: Eukaryota; Viridiplantae; Streptophyta; Magnoliopsida; Poales; Bromeliaceae. The record is from RNAcentral.
UUUUCUGUAUGAAGAGUAGAAUGAGAUGAGAAUAUAUUUGGAAUCAGAAAAUAUAAAUAAGUACCAAGUGUGUAUGAGUGGGAGAUGUUUGAAUUCGUCCGUAUUAGGACUUAUCUAAAAUAUUUCUAAUCCAUAUGGAAUAAGGAAUAAAUAUUGGUACUUAUCUAAAAUGUUCCUAGACCACAUGGGAUAAGGAAUAAAUCUAAGAGAUAGAAUUUCCUAAUCUAUUUAAAUUUCUAUUUGUGUAAGACUCAGUCAGAAUAGGAUUAGGAUUAAUGUCUCCUUUAUGGCCUAUAAAUACAUCAGGUAUUGGCCAUAUACAAGAUGCAAAAAAAAGUUCGAAUAAUCUCUCCAAAAAAAAUUCUCUCUAUCGGGUUCGCUUUAGGGCAUCAUCAGAAUCCCUAGGGAUUUUGGGCGGUGUGCUAUACGAUCAAUUCUAGUAGCCGGAUUACAAUGAGCAAGAAUAACGUGCAACAAAUUGAGACAGGUUGUUGGCGAAUCAACGAGUUCGUAAAACAAGACGAGAUCCGAUCGUGGUAAUCGUAAUGCAUUUUGCAGUGAAAGAGAUAUGUGAAAAUCUAAUUGAUUUUUGCGCUUUGAUUUGGCUAUUAUUUUUUUCCAACAGAAAUGUAAUUGAGAGCAAGUUGUAUUUUGAGGAAUUUAUGUAAUGUAUAAAGUGGAGAAAUGUAUGUAAAAUGUGAAUGAUCCAAGUGUUGUAAUAGCUAGGUUUAAAUUCUCGCUUUUGUGAUUUGCUCUCGUGCAAAACUAUAUUACGUUAUUUUUUCCGUGUGAAAUUUAAUGUACUUGUUUUGUUUAUGUCUUGGGCAAAUAGGAGAAACUUUGUUCGUCCAGCGAUCUGUGUACGU